RNAcentral lists this small RNA (76 nucleotides) under Meridianimaribacter flavus. Its description in RNAcentral is "Flavo-1 RNA". It matches the Rfam family "Flavo-1 RNA". Lineage: Bacteria; Pseudomonadati; Bacteroidota; Flavobacteriia; Flavobacteriales; Flavobacteriaceae. The record is from RNAcentral.
UUGUGUUAAGGAUAGAAACGGCAUCCUUUUUUUUGAGGGACGAAGAAAAAAGAUAUAGUGAAUAGCCUGACUUUUG